Molecule: long non-coding RNA, 448 nt
Filed under: Mytilus galloprovincialis (Mediterranean mussel)
Lineage: Eukaryota; Metazoa; Mollusca; Bivalvia; Mytilida; Mytilidae
Source: RNAcentral
CCGGGAAAUAUUUUAAAUGGAAAGUCCAUAAUCAAAUGUCAAAAUUAAAAGCUCUUGGACAUCAAAUGAAUGGAUAACAACUGUCAUAUUCCUGUCUUGGUACAGCCAUUUUAUUAUGUAGAAGAAAAUGUUGGAUUAAACCUUAGGCCUUAUAUGUCGUAUUCAAUACAAAAAGAUCUGUUGUGUAUUACAAAUGGUCUUCGCUGUUAUUUAGAACUUUUUGAAAUAUGAUCAUCCGUCCGAGGUUUGCAUAUUUUAAUCAGAAAACCUAUAUGUUCUUUUUAUAUAAUGUAUAUCGUAUUUCAGUCAUUGUCCCAAGUAAUAUAGAAAGACACCGUAGUUGUCCAUACGCAACAAUUGUUCAUUCAUAUUUUUGAUUGGUGUAAAGGCUAAUAAUCUCUUUUUCCACAAUAAAAAAAUAUUGAUUAACACAUAAGAACAAUUUCGC